UGGAGUUGUUGGUUUGGUAGAAGCAGGCACAGAAACCCUUUUUCUCUGGUGUCUUGUUAACACCCCUUGGUUAGCGUGAGAUGCUUCUUGUCCUCCUUCUUUCAGUUGUCAUGGCUACUGAGUAUAUGUUCAGUGACCAACACUAAGAUUUGGUUCAAUAGAAUAUCUGUUUCCAACACCCUGUCUCUCACCUGCUUCUCUGCUGUAGAGGUUGGGAGGGAUAUGUAGCCACUUCCCCAGACUCUCUUACAGAUUGACCGUAUGCCCUGGUUCUGUCUAAUGAAAUAUAACUGAAGAUACAGUGGGUGAUUGGGGGGAGGUUUAAAGUUUUCAUUUUACUGAAAGGAAUAAGACUGGCAUCACCUCUUCCUUGCGUUCCUACCUUAAUGCUAAUGUGAUGUUUGAGCUGCAGCAGCCACCCGAUGACCAUGAGGAAAGGCGGACAGGGGAGAGAUCCACCAUGCUAGAGAUGAUGAAGUAAGAAGUAUGACAUCAUCAAACACAUGAACUGGUGCUACUGUUAGAUUUAUGACUGGUAAGCAAAAUUACCUCAUAUCUCUUAGCUA
This 566-nucleotide long non-coding RNA is filed under the name Marmota monax (woodchuck). Lineage: Eukaryota; Metazoa; Chordata; Mammalia; Rodentia; Sciuridae. The record is from RNAcentral.